Molecule: transfer RNA, 75 nt
Filed under: Candidatus Saccharimonadota bacterium
Lineage: Bacteria; Candidatus Saccharimonadota
Description: Candidatus Saccharibacteria bacterium tRNA-Glu
Rfam family: tRNA
About the family: Transfer RNA (tRNA) molecules are approximately 80 nucleotides in length. Their secondary structure includes four short double-helical elements and three loops (D, anti-codon, and T loops).
Source: RNAcentral
GGUCCCAUCGUCUAGGGGUUAGGACACCAGGUUUUCAUCCUGGCAACAGGGGUUCGAAUCCCCUUGGGAUCACCA